UGUGACUGCAGUUCAGUCGCUGUCCGUCGUCGGGAUCGCGUCAGCUCGUCGUUGGAUAUCCGGGUUUACGCGCUGAAGCAGAAAGCAGCUGUCAAAACCGCGAACGUGCCGCUGCACGAGUCUCGUUUUAUGAAUUUUUUCGCGCCGUUAGAGAGAGAGAGAGAGAGAUUGGGAGAGAGGGGGUGGGGGGAGAAAGGCAAUCUGUAAAAAACAAACAUCGUCGUACAAUUAACGCGCUAUUUAUAUUUCAAAUUUACAGUCACAUACGUGCAAUCUUUUCCUUUAUAUAUACAUAUUGUAUAUAUAUAUAUAUAUACACAUAUACCUAUAUUUUCUCUCGUCGUUUAUUCCGGCUUCGACUAUCCGACUGUAUUGUAUACAAUGAUCCAAGUUUCCAAUUAUACGAAUCGUUUGUCGCUUCAGAAUAUUCUAAUAUUAUGUAACGCAACUCACGGACUAUUUGACGGGUUCUUUUUUGGUAUUGAAUUUUGGAGAGUGGAUCUUUUUUAAAAAAUCGCUGAAAGUAUCGAAUUGAUGAAACAUCAGUAAUGUACUUAUACAACGGAAAAAGUAUUCGGGUAUAAUUAAAUACCUGUAAUAUCGUUGAGUUUUUUUCAAUUUAAAAAAAAAACAAAAAUUCGAAAAUAUCAGUCUCAAAAACUGUGAGGUGUACAAAACUUGGUGAAACCCAUUAAUUGCGAGAUCAAUCAACUGUUUGUUAUACCGUUGUUCUUAAUUUAUUUAACCUCAACUCUACCGACGCGUCUUAGACCUUGAAGAGAGUCCGUUCAAUUAUUUUUACCAUCCACGAAUUAUUUAUAUUUACGCAUGUAUAAAAUCAAGGCAAAGAAAACAUAAAAUGAAACCAUAACCAUGCUCGAAAAUAUUGGCAUCCAUGCAUCAGCUCCAAGUGCCUUACCUAAAACACACCUAAAAC
Neodiprion fabricii is the source of this 937-nucleotide long non-coding RNA. RefSeq lists it as uncharacterized. The record is from RefSeq and is a predicted model, not a curated record. Lineage: Eukaryota; Metazoa; Arthropoda; Insecta; Hymenoptera; Diprionidae. The transcript has 3 exons.